UGUUGGCGGGGUAACGGCCCACCAAGGCGACGAUCAGUAGGGGUUCUGAGAGGAAGGUCCCCCACAUUGGAACUGAGACACGGUCCAAACUCCUACGGGAGGCAGCAGUGAGGAAUAUUGGUCAAUGGACGAGAGUCUGAACCAGCCAAGUAGCGUGCAGGAUGACGGCCCUAUGGGUUGUAAACUGCUUUUAUAAGGGAAUAAAGUGAGUCUCGUGAGGCUUUUUGCAUGUACCUUAUGAAUAAGGACCGGCUAAUUCCGUGCCAGCAGCCGCGGUAAUACGGAAGGUCCGGGCGUUAUCCGGAUUUAUUGGGUUUAAAGGGAGCGUAGGCCGGAGAUUAAGCGUGUUGUGAAAUGUAGACGCUCAACGUCUGCACUGCAGCGCGAACUGGUUUCCUUGAGUACGCACAAAGUGGGCGGAAUUCGUGGUGUAGCGGUGAAAUGCUUAGAUAUCACGAAGAACUCCGAUUGCGAAGGCAGCUCACUGGAGCGCAACUGACGCUGAAGCUCGAAAGUGCGGGUAUCGAACAGGAUUAGAUACCCUGGUAGUCCGCACGGUAAACGAUGGAUGCCCGCUGUUGGUCUGAAUAGGUCAGCGGCCAAGCGAAAGCAUUAAGCAUCCCACCUGGGGAGUACGCCGGCA
RNAcentral lists this ribosomal RNA (643 nucleotides) under uncultured bacterium. RNAcentral's name for it is "bacterial SSU rRNA". It matches the Rfam family "Bacterial small subunit ribosomal RNA", at positions 247 to 890 of the family's 1533-position model. The record is from RNAcentral.